AACGAACGCUGGCGGCAUGCCUAACACAUGCAAGUCGAACGAGACCUUCGGGUCUAGUGGCGCCCGGGUUCGUCACGCGUGGGAACCUGCCCUUAUGUUCGGCCUACCUCCCCGAAAGGGGUGCUAAUACCGGACCAUGUCUUCUGACCAAUGAUUUAUCGCCCUGGGUUGGGCCCGCGUUGGAUUCGCUAGUUGGUAGGGUAAAAGCCUACCAAGGCGACAAUCCAUAGCUGGUCUGAGAGGAUGAUCAGCCACACUGGGACUGAGACCCGGCCCAGACUCCUACGGGAGGCAGCAGUGGGGAAUAGAGGACAAUGGGCGAAAGCCUGAUCGAGCAAUGCCGGGUGAGUGAUGAAGGCCGUAGGGUUGUAAAGCGCUUUUACCCGGGAUGAUAAUGACAGUACCGGGAAAAUAAGCUCCGGCUAACUCCGUG
Molecule: ribosomal RNA, 433 nt
Filed under: uncultured bacterium
Lineage: Bacteria
Description: partial 16S ribosomal RNA
Rfam family: Bacterial small subunit ribosomal RNA
Source: RNAcentral